RNAcentral lists this ribosomal RNA (834 nucleotides) under Entrophospora etunicata. RNAcentral describes it as "eukaryotic LSU rRNA". It matches the Rfam family "Eukaryotic large subunit ribosomal RNA", at positions 1 to 649 of the family's 3401-position model. The record is from RNAcentral. Lineage: Eukaryota; Fungi; Glomeromycota; Glomeromycetes; Entrophosporales; Entrophosporaceae.
AAGCGCUUGGCCGAGAUCGUGAGUUUUUUUUUAACAAAUGACCUCAAAUCAGGCAAGAAUACCCGCUGAAUUAAGCAUAUCAAUAAGCGGAGGAAAAGAAACUAACAAGGAUUCCCCUAGUAACGGCGAGUGAAGAGGGAAGAGCUCAAAUUUUAAAUCUGCCUUGUUCCAAGGUCGAGUUGUAAUUUGAAGAAGCGUUUUCUUGGGCUCGCGGCCGGUAGAAGUUCUUUGGAACAGGACAUCAUAGAGGGUGACAAUCCCGUCCGUGACCGGUCGUGCGUUCAUCUACGAUACGCUUUCAAAGAGUCGAGUUGUUUGGGAUUGCAGCUCCAAACGGGUGGUAAACAUCACCUAAGGCUAAAUAUUGGCGAGAGACCGAUAGCGAACAAGUACCGUGAGGGAAAGAUGAAAAGAACUUUGAAAAGAGAGUUAAACAGUACGUGAAAUUGUUGAAAGGGAAACGAUUGAAGUCAGUCGUGCUGGCGCGAAAUCAACCCUCUCGUCUUGAGAUCACAUGGCGCGACGAGCCUCAAAACCGUCACGAAGCGUGAACUCUUGACGAAAAGGUGCACUUUCGUGUCCGCUGGUUAACAUCAAUUUCGAACGUCAUAAAAAGGCUGGAGGGAUGUGGCUCCUUCGGGAGUGUUAUAACCUUUAGCGGAAUGUGGCGUUCGGGAUUGAGGAUUGCAACGAAUACCUUCAGGGCUGUUCCACCUGGCUUCUCAUUGGUAUCCUGGUGACGACAGCUUGCUGACGUCGUUAGGAUCAGCUUCUGAACAGGCUAGAGUGUGAGCAAAUUCGUUAAGGAUGUUAACGUAAUGGCUUUAAACGACC